Molecule: long non-coding RNA, 2052 nt
Filed under: Eurytemora carolleeae
Lineage: Eukaryota; Metazoa; Arthropoda; Copepoda; Calanoida; Temoridae
Description: uncharacterized LOC111709290
Source: RNAcentral
UAUUGGAAUGCUCUGGUAAUUUGCCCCAACACAACCAUUGCUUUCUUUGCUGCUUCAGCACAUUGUAGGGAAGGUUUUAAACUUUUCUCCACUAUCACACCAAUAUCCCUUUCUUGAUCUACAGAUGCCAGUAAGGAUCCAUUCAUAUAAUAUUCAAACUCAUUAUUUUUCUUACCCAGGUGUAAGACCUUGCACUUAUUAACAUUGAACUCCAUGCCCCACCUGUCCGACCACACACAGAGAUCAUCGAGAGCUUUUUGAAGUACCUCUUUGUCAGCUUCUAUAUUAGCCUUGUGACCCAACUUGGUGUCGUCAGCAAACUUGUUCAUUAUUGAGAUGAGAGAGGUUUCUCCAUCCAGGUCAUUAAUAAAAAUAAUAAAUGCUAAAGGCCCCAGCACCGACCCCUGGGGUACCCCUGACAAAACUUCACACCACUCAGAGAAUGAUCCAUUUAGUACAGUACGCUGCAAUCUGCCACUCAACCAUUGAGAGAUCCAUUUAUGAACAUUACCUCUAAUGUUGUGGGCCUUGAUCUUGUCUAGCAGACGAUUUUUAGGCACCUUGUCGAAGGCUUUACUGAAGUCUAAGUAGAUGACAUCUACACUAUCUCCUUGAUCAAUCAGUGUGGUUACCCUGUCCAAAAAUUCUAAAAGGUUGGUAGUGCAGCUCUUAUUCUUCAUGAAGCCAUGCUGUGAUUGCUUUAUCAGGUUAUUAAGUUUAAGGUAUAAUAGUUGUCCUGCAGAAGUACUUCGUGGAUUAAUUGAUUUUAUGUUGUUUAACAAUGACCAUCAUUAAUAUAUUGUUAUGUUAUUUCUUGCCAAAAGCUUAGGCUGAACAUAAAUAGAAGUUAAGCACCGUAUUAAAAUAUACUGUUAGCCAGUUCUUUGAUAAUAAUACAUUAGUAUAAACUGAAACCUGAGACUACACAAUAUUUGCUCGUAAAUGUCGAGCCUCACUGGCUACCAAGCGCGGUCUAUCAUGUUUAAAGGCUGGUAUCACCUGUAUUCAAUAUUGCAAUUUAUUGAUCAUAUAUCCUCUAUUCAUCUGUUCAUCUAUCCAUCUAUCUAUCCUUGAUAUUUAUUUACUCUCCUUUCUACAGUCAGUUUUGUACACUGAACAGUUUAUCUUAAACAUUUGGCACAACAGUUUAGAUCAGUUUUUCGACUGGUUUUUUAUUAUUUUUUGAUUACGCAUUUAUUUAUCUUUAAUUUUCUUAAUCUAUUUCUCAAUUUGAAGUUUUCCCUCAGACUUCAUUCCCUUCAUUUCUCAUUCUUUCAAUCCAUAAUUCCCAUAAUCCUUUAUUUCCUUAAUCCGUUCCCUCAAUCCUUCAUUCUCUUCAUUCCCUUCAUUACUUUUUCAUUUAAUCCGUCAUACCGUAAUCUUUCAUUUCCGUAAGCCUUUAUUUCCUUAAUCCUUCAUUUCCGUAAGCCUUUAUUUCCUUAAUCCUUCAUUCUCCCAAUUCUUCAUAAUUCAAUCCUUUAUCCCCUAAAUCCUUCAUUCUCUUAAUCUUUCAUUCCUCAAUCGCUCAUUCCCUUAAUCCUUCUUUGCCACAAUCUUUCUCCUUCAUUCCCUCGAGCCUUUAUUUCCUUAAUCAUUCAUUCCCUCAAUUAUGCAUUUCCUCAAUCCUUCAUUCCCUUUAUUUCUUUACUGAUUCAAUCUUUCCGUCAUUCGCGUAAUCUUUUAUUCCCGUAAGCCUUCAUUCCCACAAUCCUUCAUUCUUACAAUUCUUCCUCAUUUCUUUAGUUCUUCAUUUUUUCUAUUCUGUAUUCCCUUUAUUCCUUAUGCAUUCAAUCCGUCAUUCCCUUAAUUCUUUAUUCUCUUAAUCCUUUAUUCUCUUAAUCCUUUAUUCUCUUAACCCUUUAUUCUCUUAAUCCUUUAUUCUCUUAAUCCUUCAUUCCCUUAAUCCUUCAUUGCCUCAAUCCUUCAUUCCCAAUCACUAAAUCCUUCAUUCUCUCAAUCCCCUAAUAUGUUCUCCAACCCUCAUCCUCGAAUCCUCAACCCCGAUAUUAAGACAAUUUUUAAUUCUGUCAGUAAAAUAUAUAUAUUUCUUUU